ACGGAGCGGAGGCUCUUCUGGGUGACGUCACGCACGUCCUGACCGUCGAUGG
This 52-nucleotide small RNA is filed under the name Sinorhizobium meliloti 2011. RNAcentral describes it as "putative ncRNA". Lineage: Bacteria; Pseudomonadati; Pseudomonadota; Alphaproteobacteria; Hyphomicrobiales; Rhizobiaceae. The record is from RNAcentral.